This 254-nucleotide ribosomal RNA is filed under the name uncultured bacterium. RNAcentral's name for it is "partial 16S ribosomal RNA". It matches the Rfam family "Bacterial small subunit ribosomal RNA", at positions 79 to 334 of the family's 1533-position model. The record is from RNAcentral.
CUAAGGCUGAUGGCGACCGGCGCACGGGUGAGUAACACGUAUCCAACCUGCCGAUAACUCGGGGAUAGCCUUUCGAAAGAAAGAUUAAUACCUGAUGGUAUAAUAAAACCGCAUGGUUUAAUUAUUAAAGAAUUUCGGUUAUCGAUGGGGAUGCGUUCCAUUAGGCAGUUGGUGAGGUAACGGCUCACCAAACCUUCGAUGGAUAGGGGUUCUGAGAGGAAGGUCCCCCACAUUGGAACUGAGACACGGUCCAA